AUGCAUCAUUUAUUAUAUUUAGAACAAACAAAAAUCCACAGACACAUAAUACAGGAGAACAUGUGUAUGAGAACACUUCCCCAUGUGACAAGACAAGUUGAACUGUAUUUCUAUUUUAAGAUGAAACAUUUGUGAAGUCUCUAUCUGCUCCAGGAAGACAAAAGUUAUUGUUUUUGUUAGUUUGUUGGUUAUAAUAUUUUUGGGAAGUCAUUAUGAAAAUAUUUUAACAAGAAAUAUGAAGAUUGUUUAUAAAUUAUUAGCCUACAACAAUAAAUAUGAAGGUUUUCUCUAAGUUUGAAUUUUUUAAGUUGCUACUAUUUUGAUAUAGGUUCUCUGUCUGUAGCCCCUUACUGAUCAUUAAAUGUAAAAUAAAUACAACCAAUACAAAGAAGUUGUAGCCCUUGUUCUUACAUCAGUUUAUCACUCAUAAAUGUGUUCCUGUAUGUUUUAAUGCUGAACUCGAUCUACAUGUUGUAAAAAUCUGGAUGAUUACACAAAGCCUUCAAAGGUUUUGCAGGCCUUGUGCUGUCUGAAGACACUAAGGAAAAGCAGUACUGUCAAGUUUUAUCCUGAAUAUUUAACUGGCCCUGAGGUUUCUGGACUGGUGCAGCAGAUUACUUAAUGUUCCAAGGAUACUGUUAAAAAUGGGAUCCAAGUCAUCUUCUUCUUCUCUACUCUUCUUCUAGCUGCUGUCUUUCAAGUCAAGUAUCUGCCUCCAUCUCACCUAUAGUCUCACUUUAUCCCUUUGGUCAAUAUUUCGGUACAUGUACAGGACAUACAAGAGAAUCAAACUGCUGUCGGUGGAAAUGGUUGCAUUAAUGUGCCGAAGACUUUCAGCAUCAUUAAAAGAAUAGAAUGUAUUUUGUGUGUGAGAGUGUGCUGGGGGAUAGGGGGGAGGCAGUAAAGAGUUCAGUCUUCUGACAAUCUCGUAAAUGGAGCUAUUCAAG
Molecule: long non-coding RNA, 947 nt
Filed under: Oreochromis niloticus (Nile tilapia)
Lineage: Eukaryota; Metazoa; Chordata; Actinopteri; Cichliformes; Cichlidae
Description: lncRNA (ENSONIG00000040010.1)
Source: RNAcentral